CAGCCAACUGCUUGAGGCAGCUGCCUUAUGAUCAGAUGUUCAAAGAGCUGCUAAAAAUGGCUUCUUCAAAAAGCAGUGGCCAAAGCCUGUGAACAGUGUAGUUUUGCCCCAUAAGUGCCUCCUUUUUUGUGGCUGUCCAGAAUAUUCCUUCCUCUUGAGUCAUCUACGAGGAGUGGAUGUUGACUUCUGCCCUCGAAGUUUCAACAGAAUCACCAGAAUUGGGAGAACACACUGCCAGUCUUGUGUAACCAAUAAGCAGCAGCUGUAAGCCAGCUGGCACAAGGAGACAAGGGACGCCAAGGGAGAAGGGCAGGAAGCCGGGCUGUCGGAUGGAAUUGGGCCACCCCGACACGAGACCUCAGAACUGACAGCUCAACCACCUCCUUG
RNAcentral lists this long non-coding RNA (387 nucleotides) under Equus asinus (donkey). RNAcentral's name for it is "lncRNA (ENSEASG00005034374.1)". The record is from RNAcentral. Lineage: Eukaryota; Metazoa; Chordata; Mammalia; Perissodactyla; Equidae.